Molecule: small RNA, 3394 nt
Filed under: Pan troglodytes (chimpanzee)
Lineage: Eukaryota; Metazoa; Chordata; Mammalia; Primates; Hominidae
Description: processed transcript
Source: RNAcentral
AUUUCUGGGUCCGGAUUGUUCAAGAGCGGCCUGUCCAGUGUUAUGUAGUGGCAACGGGCAGUACUCCAAGGGCCGCUGCCUGUGUUUCAGCGGCUGGAAGGGCACCGAGUGUGAUGUGCCGACUACCCAGUGUAUUGACCCACAGUGUGGGGGUCGUGGGAUUUGUAUCAUGGGCUCUUGUGCUUGCAACUCGGGAUACAAAGGAGAAAAUUGUGAAGAAGCUGACUGUCUAGACCCUGGGUGUUCUAGUCAUGGUGUGUGUAUCCACGGGGAAUGUCACUGCAGUCCAGGAUGGGGAGGUAGCAACUGUGAAAUCCUGAAGACCAUGUGCCCAGACCAGUGCUCCGGCCACGGAACGUAUCUUCAAGAAAGUGGCUCCUGCACGUGUGACCCUAACUGGACCGGCCCAGACUGCUCAAACGAAAUAUGUUCUGUGGACUGUGGCUCCCACGGCGUUUGCAUGGGCGGGACGUGUCGCUGUGAAGAAGGCUGGACGGGCCCAGCCUGUAAUCAAAGAGCCUGCCACCCCCGCUGUGCCGAGCACGGGACCUGCAAGGAUGGCAAGUGUGAAUGCAGCCAGGGCUGGAAUGGAGAGCACUGCACUAUCGAGGGUUGUCCUGGUCUGUGCAACAGCAAUGGAAGAUGUACCCUGGACCAAAAUGGCUGGCAUUGUGUGUGCCAGCCUGGAUGGAGAGGAGCGGGCUGUGACGUAGCCAUGGAGACUCUUUGCACAGAUAGCAAGGACAAUGAAGGAGAUGGACUCAUUGACUGCAUGGAUCCCGAUUGCUGCCUACAGAGUUCCUGCCAGAAUCAGCCCUAUUGUCGGGGCCUGCCGGAUCCUCAGGACAUCAUUAGCCAAAGCCUUCAAUCGCCUUCUCAGCAAGCUGCCAAAUCCUUUUAUGAUCGAAUCAGUUUCCUUAUAGGAUCUGAUAGCACCCAUGUUAUACCUGGAGAAAGUCCUUUCAAUAAGAGCCUUGCGUCUGUCAUCAGAGGCCAAGUACUGACGGCUGAUGGAACUCCACUUAUUGGAGUAAAUGUCUCGUUUUUCCAUUACCCAGAAUAUGGAUAUACUAUUACCCGCCAGGACGGAAUGUUUGACUUGGUGGCAAAUGGUGGGGCCUCUCUAACUUUGGUAUUUGAACGAUCCCCAUUCCUCACCCAGUAUCAUACUGUGUGGAUUCCAUGGAAUGUCUUUUAUGUGAUGGAUACCCUAGUCAUGAAGAAAGAAGAGAAUGACAUUCCCAGCUGUGAUCUGAGUGGAUUCGUGAGGCCAAAUCCCAUCAUUGUGUCAUCACCUUUAUCCACCUUUUUCAGAUCUUCUCCUGAAGACAGUCCCAUCAUUCCCGAAACACAGGUCCUCCACGAGGAAACUACAAUUCCAGGAACAGAUUUGAAACUCUCCUACUUGAGUUCCAGAGCUGCAGGGUAUAAGUCAGUUCUCAAGAUCACCAUGACCCAGUCUAUUAUUCCAUUUAAUUUAAUGAAGGUUCAUCUGAUGGUAGCUGUAGUAGGAAGACUCUUCCAAAAGUGGUUUCCUGCCUCACCAAACUUGGCCUAUACUUUCAUAUGGGAUAAAACAGAUGCAUAUAAUCAGAAAGUCUAUGGUCUGUCUGAAGCUGUUGUGUCAGUUGGAUAUGAGUAUGAGUCGUGUUUGGACCUGACUCUGUGGGAAAAGAGGACUGCCAUUCUGCAGGGCUAUGAAUUGGAUGCGUCCAACAUGGGUGGCUGGACAUUAGAUAAACAUCACGUGCUGGAUGUACAGAACGGUAUACUGUACAAGGGAAACGGGGAAAACCAGUUCAUCUCCCAGCAGCCUCCAGUCGUGAGUAGCAUCAUGGGCAAUGGGCGAAGGCGCAGCAUUUCCUGCCCCAGUUGCAAUGGUCAAGCUGAUGGUAACAAGUUACUGGCCCCAGUGGCGCUAGCUUGUGGGAUCGACGGCAGUCUGUACGUAGGCGAUUUCAACUAUGUGCGGCGGAUAUUCCCUUCUGGAAAUGUAACAAGUGUCUUAGAACUAAGAAAUAAAGAUUUUAGACAUAGCAGCAACCCAGCUCAUAGAUACUACCUUGCAACGGAUCCAGUCACAGGAGAUUUGUACGUUUCUGACACAAACACCCGCAGAAUUUAUCGCCCAAAGUCACUUACGGGGGCAAAAGACUUGACUAAAAAUGCAGAAGUUGUCGCGGGGACAGGGGAGCAGUGCCUUCCGUUUGACGAGGCGAGAUGUGGGGAUGGAGGGAAGGCCGUGGAAGCCACACUCAUGAGUCCCAAAGGAAUGGCAGUUGAUAAGAAUGGAUUAAUCUACUUUGUUGAUGGAACCAUGAUUAGGAAAGUUGACCAAAAUGGAAUCAUAUCAACUCUUCUGGGCUCUAACGAUUUGACUUCAGCCAGACCUUUAACUUGUGACACCAGCAUGCACAUCAGCCAGGUACGUCUGGAAUGGCCCACUGACCUAGCCAUUAACCCUAUGGAUAACUCCAUUUAUGUCCUGGAUAAUAACGUAGUUUUACAGAUCACUGAAAAUCGUCAAGUUCGCAUUGCUGCUGGACGGCCCAUGCACUGUCAGGUUCCCGGAGUGGAAUAUCCUGUGGGGAAGCACGCAGUGCAGACAACACUGGAAUCAGCCACUGCCAUUGCUGUGUCCUACAGUGGGGUCCUGUACAUUACUGAAACUGAUGAGAAGAAAAUUAACCGGAUAAGGCAGGUCACAACAGAUGGAGAAAUCUCCUUAGUGGCCGGAAUACCUUCAGAGUGUGACUGCAAAAAUGAUGCCAACUGUGACUGUUACCAGAGUGGAGAUGGCUACGCCAAGGAUGCCAAACUCAGUGCCCCAUCCUCCCUGGCUGCUUCUCCAGAUGGUACACUGUAUAUUGCAGAUCUAGGGAAUAUCCGGAUCCGGGCUGUGUCAAAGAAUAAGCCUUUACUUAACUCUAUGAACUUCUAUGAAGUUGCGUCUCCAACUGAUCAAGAACUCUACAUCUUUGACAUCAAUGGUACUCACCAAUAUACUGUAAGUUUAGUCACUGGUGAUUACCUUUACAAUUUUAGCUACAGCAAUGACAAUGAUAUUACUGCUGUGACAGACAGCAAUGGCAACACCCUUAGAAUUAGACGGGACCCAAAUCGCAUGCCAGUUCGAGUGGUGUCUCCCGAUAACCAAGUGAUAUGGUUGACAAUAGGAACAAAUGGAUGUUUGAAAAGCAUGACUGCUCAAGGACUGGAAUUAGUUUUGUUUACUUACCAUGGCAAUAGUGGCCUUUUAGCCACUAAAAGUGAUGAAACUGGAUGGACAACGUUUUUUGAGUAAGUAUAUGAAAAUUCUACUCUGAUUAUAAAAUACUGUGAUAUAAUAAUAUCAUCUAUAAUAACAAUAUAAUCUUAAGGGCUGGAGGAUUCC